CCUACGGGUGGCAGCAGUGGGGAAUUUUGCACAAUGCGCGUAAGCCUGAUGCAGCGACGCCGCGUGAAUGACGAAGGCCUUCGGGUCGUAAAGUUCUUUCAACAGGGAAGAAAAUGCAUAUAAGUAACUGUGUAUGUAUUGACGGUACCUGUAUAAGCAGCGCCGGCUAACUCCGUGCCAGCAGCCGCGGUAAUACGGAGGGGGCGAGCGUUGUUCGGAGUGACUGGGCGUAAAGAGCACGUAGGCGGUGUGGUAAGUCAUAAGUCAAAUCCUAGAGCUCAACUUGGGAACUGCUGUUGAUACUAGCAGACUAGAGUAUCGGAGAGGAGAGCAGAAUUCCUGGUGUAGCGGUGAAAUGCGUAGAGAUCAGGAGGAAUACCGGUGGCGAAGGCGGCAAUCUGGACGGAAACUGACGCUGAGGUGCGAAAGCGUGGGGAGCAAACAGGAUUAGAUACCCCAGUAGUC
RNAcentral lists this ribosomal RNA (465 nucleotides) under uncultured bacterium. RNAcentral's name for it is "partial 16S ribosomal RNA". It matches the Rfam family "Bacterial small subunit ribosomal RNA", at positions 338 to 795 of the family's 1533-position model. The record is from RNAcentral.